Molecule: ribosomal RNA, 389 nt
Filed under: uncultured bacterium
Lineage: Bacteria
Description: bacterial SSU rRNA
Rfam family: Bacterial small subunit ribosomal RNA
Source: RNAcentral
GACGAACGCUGGCGGCGUGCUUAACACAUGCAAGUCGAGCGGUAAGGCCCUUUCGGGGGUACGACGAGCGGCGAACGGGUGAGUAACACGUGGGUGACCUGCCUUUAGCUCUGGGAUAAGCCUGGGAAACUGGGUCUAAUACCGGAUAUGACUCCGCGGUGCAUGCUGUGGGGUGGAAAGCCUUGUGCGGCUGGAGAUGGGCCCGCGGCCUAUCAGCUUGUUGGUGGGGUGAUGGCCUACCAAGGCGACGACGGGUAGCCGGCCUGAGAGGGCGACCGGCCACACUGGGACUGAGACACGGCCCAGACUCCUACGGGAGGCAGCAGUGGGGAAUCUUGCGCAAUGGGCGAAAGCCUGACGCAGCGACGCCGCGUGAGGGAUGACGGCCU